RNAcentral lists this long non-coding RNA (717 nucleotides) under Brassica napus (rape). RNAcentral's name for it is "long non-coding RNA (BNAP_LNC001923)". The record is from RNAcentral. Lineage: Eukaryota; Viridiplantae; Streptophyta; Magnoliopsida; Brassicales; Brassicaceae.
AAACACCAUUAUUUCAUUAUCAAAAAUGAAAGUUGCUUUCAAACCUUGGUUUAUUGGCUUCGUUAUGCUUGCAAUUCUUCUGUUUAGUUUGUAUUUACAUUUACAGCUUUAUUAAUGUAUUUUAUAAUCAUUCAAAAAUAAAUUUUAUUUGAUGCCAUUUAUUUUAUAUACCUACAUAGGUUAUAUAUUUAAUUUUAUAUUAUUGAGUUUAAUGAUUUUCCAAGAAUAAUCAGUGAUAAACAAAAGAUGAAUAAACUUUCAGUUUAAAAAAAAAUGCAGAAUACUCCUUAAACAUAUGUUUUACGAGAAAUGAUUUUUUUUUACUUUAAAUAUGAAAAAUAAAAGUUAUGUUUUAAUUAUUAAUGACAGGAGAAACGGCUAUUGCUCGGAAAGCAAAAAAUAGUAGAUGGUGUUGGGCAAUUUUAACACAUUUACCAUCACGAGAACAUCCCAACCCUCCAAGAUGUUAUCCCGAUAGCUGUAAAGCCUUAUGUUUGACAAAGAAAAACCUACAGAUAAGUCGUUGCGUUAAUAAAUUUUGGGGAUGCGAGUGUGAGCAUGACUGCUGAUUUUUUAUCUACAUUAAAACUCGAAUAAUAUUUAUAAUAAUACUAUGUAUUUGUCAUAAAUAAAUAUAAAUAACAAAUAUUGAUACAUGUAUCUUCAUCUCCUUUUCUUCUUGUACAAUUGUAAAAAUUAACAAAAAAAUAUAUUGGA